Molecule: ribosomal RNA, 257 nt
Filed under: uncultured bacterium
Lineage: Bacteria
Description: partial 16S ribosomal RNA
Rfam family: Bacterial small subunit ribosomal RNA
Source: RNAcentral
UACAGAGGAUGCAAGCGUUAUCCGGAAUGAUUGGGCGUAAAGCGUCUGUAGGUGGCUUUUUAAGUCCGUCCGUCAAAUCCCAGGGCUCAACUCUGGACAGGCGGUGGAAACUACCAAGCUGGAGUACGGUAGGGGCAGAGGGAAUUUCCGGUGGAGCGGUGAAAUGCGUAGAGGAUCGGAAAGAACACCAACGGCGAAAGCAACUCUGCUGGGCCGACACUGACACUGGAGAGACGAAAGCUAGGGGAGCGAAUGGG